UCACUCUGGCCAAGGAACUCGGCAAAAUAACCCCGUAACUUCGGAAGAAGGGGUGCUCUCUAGGGUGACAUGUUUAACAUAUGAAGCCCCGGAGAGCCGCAGUGAAUUGGUGGUGGCGACUGUUUACUAAAAACAUAGGUCUGUGCGAAGUCCUAAAGACGACGUAUACGGACUGACGCCUGCCCGGUGCUGGAAGGUUAAAAGGAGGAGUCAGCGCAAGCAAAGCUCCGAAUUGAAGCCCCAGUAAACGGCGGCCGUAACUAUAACGGUCCUAAGGUAGCGAAAUUCCUUGUCGGGUAAGUUCCGACCUGCACGAAUGGCGUAACGAUCUCCACACUGUCUCGGCCAGAGACUCGGUGAAAUUGCAGUCGCGGUGAAAAUUCCGUGUACCCGCAGAAAGACGGAAAGACCCUGUGCACCUUUACUAUAGCUUGACAUUGGAUUUUGGGCCUGCAUGUGUAGGAUAGGUGGGAGGCUGUGAACCCUGUACGCCAGUAUGGGGGGAGCCAUCGUUGAAAUACCACCCUUGCAUGUUUAAGAUCCUAACUUCUUCCGGUCAUCCCGGAGAAAGACAGUGUCUGGCGGGUAGUUUGACUGGGGCGGUCGCCUCCUAAAGUGUAACGGAGGCAUGCAAAGGUUCCCUCAGCCUGAUCGGAAACCAGGCGCUGAGUGCAAACGCAUAAGGGAGCUUGACUGUAAGAGAGACAUCUCGAACAGGAACGAAAGUUGGCGUUAGUGAUCCGGUGGUCCCGAAUGGAAGGGCCAUCGCUCAUUGGAUAAAAGGUACGCCGGGGAUAACAGGCUGAUCGCAUCCAAGAGUUCACAUCGACGAUGCGGUUUGGCACCUCGAUGUCGGCUCAUCACAUCCUGGGGCUGAAGCAGGUCCCAAGGGUACGGCUGUUCGCCGUUUAAAGUGGUACGCGAGCUGGGUUUAAAACGUCGUGAGACAGUUUGGUCCCUAUCUUCUGUGGGCGAAGGAGAAUUGAGAGGGCCUGUCCCUAGUACGAGAGGACCGGGAUGGACGCACCCCUGGUGAUCCUGUUGUCGCGCCAGCGGCACAGCAGGGUAGCUAUGUGCGGAAGGGAUAACCGCUGAAAGCAUCUAAGCGGGAAGCCUGCCUCAAGAUAAGUUCUCCCCUCGAAAGAGCUGAAGGGCCCGGGUAGACUACCCGGUCGAUAGGCUGGAGGUGUAAGCGCGGCGACGCGCUCAGCUGACCAGUACUAAUAGCCCGAGCGGCUUAUUUGU
Molecule: ribosomal RNA, 1245 nt
Filed under: human gut metagenome
Description: bacterial LSU rRNA
Rfam family: Bacterial large subunit ribosomal RNA
Source: RNAcentral